RNAcentral lists this ribosomal RNA (482 nucleotides) under uncultured bacterium. Its description in RNAcentral is "partial 16S ribosomal RNA". It matches the Rfam family "Bacterial small subunit ribosomal RNA", at positions 30 to 507 of the family's 1533-position model. The record is from RNAcentral.
AUUGAACGCUGGCGGCAUGCUUUACACAUGCAAGUCGAACGGUAACAGCACUUCGGUGGCUGACGAGUGGCGAACGGGUGAGUAAUACAUCGGAACGUGCCUAGUAGUGGGGGAUAACUACUCGAAAGAGUAGCUAAUACCGCAUGAGAUCUAAGGAUGAAAGCAGGGGACCUUCGGGCCUUGCGCUACUAGAGCGGCUGAUGGCAGAUUAGGUAGUUGGUGGGAUAAAAGCUUACCAAGCCGACGAUCUGUAGCUGGUCUGAGAGGACGACCAGCCACACUGGGACUGAGACACGGCCCAGACUCCUACGGGAGGCAGCAGUGGGGAAUUUUGGACAAUGGGCGCAAGCCUGAUCCAGCAAUGCCGCGUGCAGGAUGAAGGCCUUCGGGUUGUAAACUGCUUUUGUACGGAACGAGAAGCCCUCUUCUAAUACAGGAGGGUCAUGACGGUACCGUAAGAAUAAGCACCGGCUAACUACGUG